RNAcentral lists this ribosomal RNA (703 nucleotides) under Flavobacterium sp. Its description in RNAcentral is "bacterial SSU rRNA". It matches the Rfam family "Bacterial small subunit ribosomal RNA", at positions 180 to 887 of the family's 1533-position model. Lineage: Bacteria; Pseudomonadati; Bacteroidota; Flavobacteriia; Flavobacteriales; Flavobacteriaceae. The record is from RNAcentral.
ACAUGGUCGCAUGGUCAAGUUAUUAAAGUCACAACGGUGAAAGAUGAGCAUGCGUCCCAUUAGUUAGUUGGUAAGGUAACGGCUUACCAAGACUACGAUGGGUAGGGGUCCUGAGAGGGAGAUCCCCCACACUGGUACUGAGACACGGACCAGACUCCUACGGGAGGCAGCAGUGAGGAAUAUUGGACAAUGGAGGCAACUCUGAUCCAGCCAUGCCGCGUGCAGGAUGACGGUCCUAUGGAUUGUAAACUGCUUUUAUACGAGAAGAAACACUCCUUCGUGAAGGAGCUUGACGGUAUCGUAAGAAUAAGGAUCGGCUAACUCCGUGCCAGCAGCCGCGGUAAUACGGAGGAUCCAAGCGUUAUCCGGAAUCAUUGGGUUUAAAGGGUCCGUAGGCGGUUUAGUAAGUCAGUGGUGAAAGCCCAUCGCUCAACGGUGGAACGGCCAUUGAUACUGCUAGACUUGAAUUAUUAGGAAGUAACUAGAAUAUGUAGUGUAGCGGUGAAAUGCUUAGAGAUUACAUGGAAUACCAAUUGCGAAGGCAGGUUACUACUAAUAUAUUGACGCUGAUGGACGAAAGCGUGGGUAGCGAACAGGAUUAGAUACCCUGGUAGUCCACGCCGUAAACGAUGGAUACUAGCUGUUGGGAGCAAUCUCAGUGGCUAAGCGAAAGUGAUAAGUAUCCCACCUGGGGAGUACUUCG